This 87-nucleotide transfer RNA is filed under the name Devosia sp. RNAcentral describes it as "tRNA-Phe". It matches the Rfam family "tRNA". Rfam says of the family: Transfer RNA (tRNA) molecules are approximately 80 nucleotides in length. Their secondary structure includes four short double-helical elements and three loops (D, anti-codon, and T loops). Further hydrogen bonds mediate the characteristic L-shaped molecular structure. tRNAs have two regions of fundamental functional importance: the anti-codon, which is responsible for specific mRNA codon recognition, and the 3' end, to which the tRNAs corresponding amino acid is attached (by aminoacyl-tRNA synthetases). tRNAs cope with the degeneracy of the genetic code in two manners: having more than one tRNA (with a specific anti-codon) for a particular amino acid; and 'wobble' base-pairing, i.e. permitting non-standard base-pairing at the 3rd anti-codon position. Lineage: Bacteria; Pseudomonadati; Pseudomonadota; Alphaproteobacteria; Hyphomicrobiales; Devosiaceae. The record is from RNAcentral.
GGAGGGUUGGCCGAGCGGUCGAUGGCACCCACUUGAAAACUGGGCAGGCGGGUACCCGCCUCGGGGGUUCGAAUCCCUCACCCUAUU